This 119-nucleotide ribosomal RNA is filed under the name Pteropus alecto (black flying fox). The record is from RNAcentral. Lineage: Eukaryota; Metazoa; Chordata; Mammalia; Chiroptera; Pteropodidae.
GUCUAUGGCCAUGCCUCCCUGAACAAGCCCGAUCCCGUCUGAUCUCGGAAGCUAAGCAGGGUCGGACCUGGUUAGUACUUGGAUGGGAGACCACUUAGGAAUACCAGGUACCGUAGGUG